CACAGAAGCCCCCAUUUCCAGUUCGUUUCGAACCAGCUGGUUGGGGGGCAGCCAUGGAAGAUCUGCACAUGCAUGGGGAGCCGUCGAUCUUUGUUUGGGAGGUGCGCUGCAAAUCCAGCCGUCCUUUUGCUCUUCGUCUGAGAGAUUUCUGGUGGGAAGAUUUUUCAUCCUUUCUACAGCCUUCCACUCAGACUUCCAUCUCUCUUGCUUUCGAAUUUCUGCAUCCUUUGUCUUCAGGCACUUCUAUCAUAGAUUGUGACUUUGAACUAUGAUUCACCAUCAUAACGGAAAACCAGGAAAUUCCCAACUUCUAAAUGAUGAUCCUUCACAAAACCCUGUCAACCCUUAGAGAAGAACAAGCCAUUCUCUCUCUCUUCCAAUUCCACAGCCCUCCCUUUCCCACUUGGGCCUCUAAGAGAACAUUUGCGAAGUGAUCCUCCGUUGAAGUUCUUGAUAAACACCGUUGAACAUUUGCGAAGGAAAUCUCAUAUGAAAUGGGUAUUUUAUGUUGGAGGUUAGGUUUAUUUUAUGAUUUUUUAUGUUAGAUUUCAUAUUGAAUCAAUUUGAAAGGUUUCCCCUGAAGACUCUGAAUAUCUUUUAAGUUUUUUUGUGGUUAUAACACAUCAAAAUUUAUUUUUUCUUAUUAGUUCUUUCAACUUUAUUUUGCUAAUUCAGUGAGAGUAGUUGUCAAAGAUGGCAUCAAAGCUUAGCAAAUCUAUGCUUGAUGGGGUUGAAAUUACGAUUUAAUCAGCGAUAGGACUUUUGGUUGAAUCCCAAGCAGGGAAUGCAUUCUUUGCCAUGGUUCCCGAACAGGUCCUCUUGGCUUCCCUUGAUGCUAUCAGUAAGUUGAAUAGGGUUCUAUAACCUUUAGGUGUUUAUAGGUUAUUUCUGCUUUUAUAGCUUCUCCUUUAGAUUAGCAUAGCCUAUAAAUGACAAUACAUUUAUCAGUUUUGACCAUAGGUGUCUAUAGAUAAUCUAUUCUUUUGUACGACAAACUUGCACAUGGGUUGAUUCUGUUAUGGGUAUUUGGUUUGAUUCUAUUAAAGUCUGGGUCUUUUGGUUUCAUUAGGUUAUAGAUAUUUAAUAAUUUGUGGCAAUGACAGAUUAUACUUUUGUCCACCACGUUCGUAGAAUGCUUGGCGUAUUUAAAUUGUGGUUUGUGCAGUUGAUUUCUUGGCCUUAAUUAUGUAACAAUAGCCACUGUCUUCACUAAAUUUUCCCAUUUGUCUCCACUAACACUUACCAGUUUCCAAAUUUGUAGCAACAUAAUAAACACCCAUUGAUUUGAUGCUAUUAAAGCUAGAGUGUUUUGGCUUAAUUCUCUCAUACCUAUUUAAUAAAUUGUCACAAUUGUUCUAAGUUUGUUAUCAAUUGAUUAAAUAGACUGGAGUUAUACUUUUGCCCCUCAGAUUAAUAGAAUGGUUGAUGUACCUAAACUGUUGUUUGUCCUGUUGGAUUUUUUAACUUAAUUUUGUGAUGAUAGUUGGUAUUCGCUCACAUUUUUCCAUUUAUCUACACUAACACUUGCCAUUUUUUAAAUUUGUACCAACAUAGUUAAAACCCUGCAAAGGACAAGAAAGAACAGAAGCCACUUCUAUAGGAAAGGCAUCAAGAGAAAGAUCCCAUUCCAACAGACAUCAAGGCAGAAAAUCCCCUUCCACCACCCAAUAGCAUAUAUAUAUAUAAAGACCGGUCCAAACUCUUCUAAACAAUGAACAUUCUAAAACUGCUAAUAUUUUGAUGCUAUUUUGAUGUUUUGAUUGCUGCUUAGUUUAUUAAAAUAUGGUCAAUAUUUUAACGUGACAAGUAGCAUAUAAAACAUGUUAUUAGUCUAUUUUUAGUAAUAUAAACUUGCCAAAUAAAGCAUGAUGCCACUAUUAAGAUCUCCAUGUCUAUAUAAAUGGUACCAUCUUUCAUAUAUUUUUUCAUGAUUUUGUAUACAAUUCAUAUGGUUUUAAAACCCGCAGCAUCGCGCGGGCACCUUUUGCUUGUAAUAUAUGAGAGACAAAUAAUAAGACACCCUUUCGUUAUCUCACCUUAAAUAAUAAGACUUGCUUAAAUAAUAUCUUACCUUGUGAAAGUUUUUUUUGUCUCCAUGAUUUAAGCUCUCUAUAUAUAAUAUAUUCAGUCCCUUCUAUUGAGGACACCCUUUUGGGUCCUCCAUGAAUUUUUUUUUCAACAAUCCAAAUCAUUUAUUUUUUAAGUCUAUAUUCAUAGACCAUCCAAUAAAACCCUUAAAGAGGCUUCCCCUCUGAUUCAACUCAAACGGGAAGAUAAGAAUGUUAACGAUAUGAGAGACAAAACUUUCUGAUUUCAUUUAAAUCUUCUGCUCAAGACUAUUAUCGGACUUCAGCAAGUAUGGGAGAUGCUUUCCCCUGAUGUUGUUUUGUAGUGCUCCUAUUGCUGAUGUUUGUCUACUUUAGGGCUUUUGGGAUUGUAAAGUUUGUUCAUUCCACAGUUCAUUGUAAGUUGUGUUGCAUGCUUUUAUGUUCUGAGCUCAUAUAAGUGUAACAAUUAUUGUUGUUGCUAAGAAAAUAUGAUCUUGGAACUGAAACACAUAUUUUUGUUCUAACAACUAUUGAUAGUGCUAUGUGAACUUCUAGCUUCCUGUUAA
This is a long non-coding RNA of Prunus persica (peach), 2614 nucleotides long. RefSeq lists it as uncharacterized. The transcript has 2 exons. Lineage: Eukaryota; Viridiplantae; Streptophyta; Magnoliopsida; Rosales; Rosaceae. The record is from RefSeq and is a predicted model, not a curated record.